GGGGGCGACCUGGCUUCGACGUGGGUCGCGAAGCGGUGCAGUGCAUGCCGAGGACCAGUUCCCUCGUAAAUCCACUGGAAUGCAAUAAACGCCAACGACGAGCGUUACGCUCUCGCCGCCUAACACCGGCGAGACGCUGUACCGGCUGGCUCAUGGGCCGGACGGGAAAACGGGCGCAAGCCCGUUUGGAUGGGAUCGAAGCCUUCGGGUCGCGAUCUGAGCCGUAGCCCGUAGCAGCGUCAUUUUCAUGAGCUAAGGCCGUUCCUCGCCGCGGGGAACGGUUCGAAACACUCAGCGGAUCGCCUGCUGCCAGCCUGCCCGUUGGCGUGCAGCGGGUCAAAUCAAACAAUGGGCUAAGCAUGUAGCGCUGGCCGUAGAGGACUUGCGGACGCGGGUUCGAUUCCCGCCGCCUCCACCA
This is a non-coding RNA of Betaproteobacteria bacterium CG2_30_68_42, 418 nucleotides long. The record is from Rfam. Lineage: Bacteria; Pseudomonadati; Pseudomonadota; Betaproteobacteria.